This is a non-coding RNA of Triticum aestivum (bread wheat), 115 nucleotides long. NCBI's taxonomy places the organism in Eukaryota, Viridiplantae, Streptophyta, Magnoliopsida, Poales, Poaceae. The record is from Rfam.
UAAGUACUUCCUCCGUUUCAAAUUAUUCGUCGCUGAAAUGAAUGUAUCUAGAACUAAAAUACAUCUAGAUAUAUUCAUAUGUGUGACAAAUAAUUCGGAACGGAGGGAGUACUUA